This 492-nucleotide ribosomal RNA is filed under the name uncultured bacterium. RNAcentral's name for it is "partial 16S ribosomal RNA". It matches the Rfam family "Bacterial small subunit ribosomal RNA", at positions 29 to 507 of the family's 1533-position model. The record is from RNAcentral.
AGUGAACGCUGGCGGCAGGCCUAAUACAUGCAAGUCGAACGGCAGCACAGUAAGAGCUUGCUCUUACGGGUGGCGAGUGGCGGACGGGUGAGGAAUACAUCGGAAUCUACUUUUUCGUGGGGGACAACGUAGGGAAACUUACGCUAAUACAGCAUACGAUCUACGGGUGAAAGCAGGGGAUCUUCGGACCCUGCGCGAUUGAAUGAGCCGAUGUCGGAUUAGCUAGUUGGCGGGGUAAAGGCCCACCAAGGCGACGAUCCGUAGCUGGUCUGAGAGGAUGAUCAGCCACACUGGAACUGAGACACGGUCCAGACUCCUACGGGAGGCAGCAGUGGGGAAUAUUCGACAAUGGGCGCAAGUCUGAUCCAGCCAUACCGCGUGGGUGAAGAAGGCCUUCGGGUUGUAAAGCCCUUUUAUUGGGAAAGAAAAGCAGCGGGUUAAUACCCCGCUGUUCUGACGGUACCCAAAGAAUAAGCACCGGCUAACUUCGUG